ACCUACCAGAUCAUGCUGGAUCCAUCCCUGAAUUAAUACUAGCUCAAAAUCAUCCCACCUUCCAUCAUGUAAACAGCCCCUAAGACCUGUUCAUGGCGUAGGAAAAUGCAUUUUGAAUACCAAACACCUUGCACAAUGUUGAAGGUCAGCUAAAUAUUCUAUUUCUACUUUGUUGGCAUGGGUGAUUUUAUAUGAAUACCUUCAAUGCUAAUAACUUCUUGCUUUUGUAUGUAUAAUUAUAAUACUGUCAGUGGUGAAG
Non-coding RNA from Paramuricea clavata, 259 nucleotides. The record is from the annotation of a GenBank genome assembly. NCBI's taxonomy places the organism in Eukaryota, Metazoa, Cnidaria, Anthozoa, Malacalcyonacea, Plexauridae.